AAGUGUCCCCUCUUCUUUCUCCUUAUGCAGAUGUCCUGGCUCUCAACAAAGGCACCAGGCAGGAUUGUUUUUUCUCUUGCAUUCCCAUAAGCCUGACUUCCUGAUGUCCACUACACUCUGUUCUCAAUCUUCUCCAGUCUUUUGCAAACUGUGAUGUUCAGAUGUCCUAUAAGCCUGACUUCCUGAUGUCCACUACACUCCGUUCUCAACCUUCUCCGGUAUUCUGCAAACUGUGAAUGCCUCCUUGUGUUGGAUUCAUGAUGUUCACCAUACUGCACGGCCUACUUUUUUUCUUCGCAAGCUAUGGAAAGAAACUCUGUUCAGCUCAUGAAACGGACUGUUCACAUUUUUUUACUUUUGUGGAGGAAGCAGGGUAUCCUGGUAAUUUUAUUUUGCAGCUACUAUGCUCUCGUCAUAGAUACCUUGCAUCCUACCCAGUGAGUACAUUAUACGAUUUUGAUUUCCAGUAUCUGAUGGACAUUUUGACUCCCAUGUUGAAAUAUGAUUAUUUUAUCAUAUUUUCUCAUUACAACCUACAAUUUGUAUAUAUAGGCCCAACAAAGAGAGAAAUCUGA
Molecule: long non-coding RNA, 575 nt
Organism: Sardina pilchardus (European sardine)
Lineage: Eukaryota; Metazoa; Chordata; Actinopteri; Clupeiformes; Clupeidae
Exons: 3
Source: RefSeq, a predicted model, not a curated record